GACGAACGCUGGCGGCGUGCCUAAUACAUGCAAGUAGAACGCACAGGAUGCACCGUAGUUUACUACACCGUAUUCUGUGAGUUGCGAACGGGUGAGUAACGCGUAGGUAACCUGCCUGGUAGCGGGGGAUAACUAUUGGAAACGAUAGCUAAUACCGCAUAAGAACAUUUACUGCAUGGUAGAUGUUUAAAAGGUGCAAAUGCAUCACUACCAGAUGGACCUGCGUUGUAUUAGCUAGUAGGUGAGGUAACGGCUCACCUAGGCGACGAUACAUAGCCGACCUGAGAGGGUGAUCGGCCACACUGGAACUGAGACACGGUCCAGACUCCUACGGGAGGCAGCAGUAGGGAAUCUUCCACAAUGGGUGCAAGCCUGAUGGAGCAAUGCCGCGUGAGUGAAGAAGGACUUCGGUUCGUAAAGCUCUGUUGUUGGGGAAGAACACGGAUAGGAGUCACUGCCUAUCCCUUGACGGUACCCAACCAGAAAGUCACGGCUAACUACGUGCCAGCAGCCGCGGUAAUACGUAGGUGACAAGCGUUGUCCGGAUUUAUUGGGCGUAAAGCGAGCGCAGGCGGUCCGGUAAGUCUGAUGUGAAAGCCCACGGCUCAACCGUGGAACGGCAUUGGAAACUGGCGGACUUGAAUGUAGCAGAGGAAAGUGGAAUUCCAUGUGUAGCGGUGGAAUGCGUAGAUAUAUGGAGGAACACCAGUGGCGAAAGCGACUUUCUGGGCUAUGAUUGACGCUGAGGCUCGAAAGCGUGGGGAGCGAACAGGAUUAGAUACCCUGGUAGUCCACGCCGUAAACGAUGAGUGCUAAGUGUUGGAGGGUUUCCGCCCUUCAGUGCUGGAGUUAACGCAUUAAGCACUCCGCCUGGGGAUUACGACCGCAAGGUUGAAACUCAAAAGAAUUGACGGGGACCCGCACAAGCGGUGGAGCAUGUGGUUUAAUUCGAAGCAACGCGAAGAACCUUACCAGCUCUUGACAUCUUCUGCCACCUUCAGAGAUGAAGGGUUCCCUUCGGGGACAGAAUGACAGGUGGUGCAUGGUUGUCGUCAGCUCGUGUCGUGAGAUGUUGGGUUAAGUCCCGUAACGAGCGCAACCCUUAUUGUUAGUUGCCAGCAUUGAGUUGGGCACUCUAGCAAGACUGCCGGUGAUAAACCGGAGGAAGGCGGGGAUGACGUCAAAUCAUCAUGCCCCUUAUGAGCUGGGCUACACACGUGCUACAAUGGAUGGUACAACGAGUGGCGAGACCGCGAGGUUUAGCUAAUCUCCCAAAGCCAUCCUCAGUUCGGAUUGCAGGCUGCAACUCGCCUGCAUGAAGUCGGAAUCGCUAGUAAUCGCGGAUCAGAAUGCCGCGGUGAAUUCGUUCCCGGGUCU
RNAcentral lists this ribosomal RNA (1377 nucleotides) under uncultured bacterium. Its description in RNAcentral is "bacterial SSU rRNA". It matches the Rfam family "Bacterial small subunit ribosomal RNA", at positions 28 to 1381 of the family's 1533-position model. The record is from RNAcentral.